UUUGGAACAUAACUUCAACUGAUAGUCUGACAAGCCUCUACAUACUAAGACUAGAGAGUCACUGGGACAAAUCCCCAACUGACUCAACCGGACUGAAAAGAAAAAAAAUUAACUACUAUAAAGACUGAAAACAAGGGAUUAGAUCCUUGAACCAUGAGGACUCACCAAUUGCUGACGUAUAGAUAAAGGUACUCGAAGAUCACUGUCACUGCUGAGAUUGAGCACCUGAACCUACAUUAUGAGACAAUGUAGCACACAGACGUAUAUAUGGAUCAGUACUUUGAGGAUGUACUGAGUAUAUAGGGGUGUAUGCAAUACUUAAAACAACAAUAUCAUCAAUCUUUAUAGAAAUCAUGCAUGCUGAUAUAACUGACUCACAUAGCUUGAAUAAUCUCAAAAAAAUGUAUAUCUCAUAAAUUAUGAAUAAUAAAAUGCAUAGUAUAAAUCUCGUGAGUCAAUAUACUAUUUCUAAAAUCUGUAGUUCUAUUCCCUUCUCAAAACAUAUAGACUAAGUGGUAAAGUGCUCACCUCUGAAUCUGAGAGCUAAGACUGUAAUUUUAAAACUAAAAUAUAAAGUAAAACAUUAAUUGAAUAAGUUUGUGAGCCUUUACACUUAGUAUCUAAAAAUUUUUACUGACCAGGAUAUCUUUCAAAGAUUUAGGGAAAAUAACUCAUCUCAAGAAACAUACUUUACUUUAGAAAUUGAUUAUUUACUCUUACUAGCAGGGAGGUUCUCUUAACCGACAUACACUAUGCGAGUAAUAUGGAGUCCAGCAUUUUUUCCUCUUAAGGAAAAAACCUCACGGUUGUCACACCCCUUUUUUGCUCGAAGGAGUCGAGUCGAAGGAUUUUUCCAAUUAAAGUGACAGUAUUGAAUAGGGAUUAUUUUAAUUAUAGAGUCGCCACUUGGAAUUAAGUUAUGGUGUUCCAAGUCACCUAAUUGAAGUCCUAAUCAAAAGGAAAUGACUCUUUAUUUUGGUCUGCAAAAAUAGAAGACCGGAUAAGAAAUUCUAUUGACCGAGGGGAAGGUGUGAGGCACCCCUCGAGUCCCGUGGUUCUAGCACAGUCGCUUUUAUUAACUUAUACUUAACUAUUUUGAUAAAUUGUAUUAAGACCUAAUUUCGCUCAUUUUAUUAUACCGAAAACUUGUGUAUUAAGUAAAUCAGUUAAUUUUAGAAAAUAUUUGUCAAGGUGCAUUAUUGCAUCCUUAAAAUUUUAAAUGUCUCAAAAAGAUGCGUAUUCCGUAUUCUUAUUUGAUACGAAUAUAUAUUAAAUAUGUUUAAAAAUUAUCUAGUAUUAUAAGCGUUAAUUUACCAAUUAUAAAUUCAUAAAAAAUUUAUUUAUUUAAAAUGCUACUUAAUUUUAAUAGUAUUCCUAAAUAAUAUUUAAUUAAAGAAAUUAAUUAAUUUAACAAAAUAAUUACCAAUUUUUAUUAUUGACAAGGAAUAAACAAAAUAAGUAAUUACAAUACAAUAGAAUAAAAUAAAUAUAAACUAUCCACAUCUAUUUUUUUUUUAAAACAAAAGUUUAUUUUAAAAAGGCUCAAUAACUUGACAAAAAUUAAAGCAGAUCUACGCAUAUUUUUCUCUUGACUUGAAAAAGAAAAGGGCGCUGUUUUUUAAGCCAUGAUGGCUGGUUGUAGGAAAGAGGACGGUGACGCUAAUGGCUUCGUAGGUGAGAUGGUUGGUUGUAGGAAAGAGGACGGUGACGCUAAUGGCUUCGUAGGUGAGAUCUAAAUGGGAAAAAUGGAGAGAGGAUGGCGGCGGUGACCGGUGAACGUGGGUUCACCAAAAGGAAAGGAGAAAUAGAAGUGGUAUUGGUUGGUUCCCGAUGAUUUUUGCUGUUUUUGAGAGGAAUUUUCUGGCGGUUUGACCAGGCAGCCCGCUGGGUUGGUUAUCGGCGAGUUUCGUCGAUGGUGUUGGUGAUGGGAAAGGGGAAGGGGUAGCUGGCGAUGGUACGGUGGUCACAGGAGUGGUGGUUAACUGUUUUGAGGGUAGGGAAGGUCGGAACAAUGAUGGGAAAAUGGAGAUCUGCUCUAGUUUCAGGCAACAAUGCCUUUCCCGACAAAGAUUCGCCGGAGCAGUCCCCGGCGUUUCACUUUUCCCUCUUCACUCAAAUUUCAUAUUUUUGAUUUUCAUUUUUUUAGCAAGAUGGAUAUACCGGAUUUAAUGACGAAAUGGUAAUUCCGGCAAAGUUUCGCCGGAAGUUCAGAAUUAUGCGAACUAAUUUGGCUCUCGUUAAUCUCUGAUUUUUCUAUUUCCACGUAGUAUGUAUGGUGUAUAAAUAAAAUGGAGGCCUAUGUACACAAAUGUGUGUAACAGUGUAUGUGAAAGUCUUAUAUUCUUAGUGAUGGAUGAAAGUGUAUGUGAACGUGUGCAUUAUUGGUGAAUGUGAAUAUGCAGUGAACACAAAUUGUAACAAGUUUAUUUUCUUUUCUCCGCUAUUUUCUCUGUUCGGAUUUUAACUUAGCAGUAUGUAGAUAAAAAUUCAGUAAUUUAAUAUGCAAUAUAAUAACAUAUACAUCCACUUAAUAAAUCAACAAUACUUCAUGAACAAUAUAUGAAAAUUACUUCAACAUCUUUAUUCAUAUAUGAUUCAUAAUAAAGUUUAUGCAAUAAAGGAUCAUAAUGAAAUCUGUGUUAAAUUGAACAGAAACACAAAGUCGUCACCGAAAUCUUCAAGUGAAAUUUUGAAUCUCCACUCUUUCUCUCCUUUUUUUGAUAUUUUUUUUUUUACUAUUUAUUUUUUACUAAUUUUUUUUUAGUGACUGAUAGAAUAGUGUCUGACCCUCAAAAUACGUAUGUAGAGAAUCCUUAAAUAAAGGAUUUAGGGGGGAACGGUUACUUUUUGGGGGGAAAUUAAUUAGCUGAUACAGCAAAGGGGAGGAAAGAUUUAAAAUUUAAAUUAAUAAUAAUCUAAUUUUUAUUUAUUUAUUUAUUUAAAAAUAGAAAGUAAUAAUAAUAAUAAUAAUAAUAAUAAAUGAAUGAAAAUACUAAUAAUAAUGAUUAUAUAUAUAUAUAUAUAACAAAAAAUAAUAAAAAUUUAAAAAUAAUAUUUAAACUACUAAUUAUUUAUUAACAUUUAGAAAACAAAAAAAAUACAAUUUUUGAAUUUUUGUAUUAAUUUCAAAAUUAGAAAAACAUGACUGAUAAUAUUUUUAGGAAAAACACUUAUUUAAAUUGACUUUAUCAAAAACUUUAUAAUAACAGAUCUCUAGACAAUUUUAACUAUAUAUUUGGAGACAAUACCCCCUAAAUACACUUAAAAGGAACAAAAUAAAAUAAAAUAAAAUGACUUAGAAAAGAAGAAUGAUUGUUUUAUGUAUGAAGUUGUAUAAAAAUUUCAGCCUCACGACCCCUAAAGGUUCAGGACUGUUAAGAUUUAUAUAUAUUUUAUUUUGUAAAACUUAGCCUCAUGAUCCCUAAAGAUUCAGGGCUAUAUAUUAAGAUAUAUAAAAAUUAGACAGAAUUAAAAAAAUAAUCAUGAAAGUAAUCAUAUUUUCAAAAUAUUCCCCAAUAAGUCAAUGAAUAAUUUUCAAAAGAUAGGGUCGUAUCCUGAGAAGAACUUCCUACGUAUCCCACUAAGAUGUGAGAAUCAAACCCUCGUAGUUCAUGAAAACCAUAAAACUAUGUUACUAAAAAUUUUCUCUUUUAAAAAUAAUAAUUUUCUUUCAAAAAUGAUUCACUAAAUGUGACGAUAAUUUAAUCUCUGGCAUUUUAAUGUUGCCUAAAAGCCGGUCAACACACAAAUAGCCUUCUAAACAAAUGUCAAAGAGCACGUAGGAUGCACAUGUUGGUCUUUAUAAAGUAGGUUACCUGUCCUAGACAGACUCGGCCCCUGUGCCGAGUCCCGCUAAGUCAAAUACAUAUGUUGCAAAUAAAGCGGCACCUAAUAGGGAUAACCAGAUUCUGAGUUUUCAGUUUUUCUAAGUUUAAACCUAAUAGGGAUAUGUGCCUAGAAUGACUUACCGAGCGAACACUCGAGCCGGGGAGGGAUAACUUGGUCGAUAGCAGGGUAACACCACCUUUAUUGUCGAUCCGAACCCUGCCUAACAUGUGUGACUAUAUCCUUCAUUACGUGCCUUGACACUCCGAAUAUCUUAAAAAAAAUAGGAUGCAUGCGCUGCAUUCCUUCUAUCCUAUUUCAGAGACUCAGAGAGGGUGCGCAAAAGAAGACAGUAUAUAAUACAGUUCAAUCAAUAUCAAAGCGGUAAAUGAGCGACAAGUAGCACAUAAGGCCAACAAGCACAAUAUCAAUAGUAAUUAAAGCAAGUAUAAGUUAAUAAAAAGCUCAAAUUCUUAUUAUUCCCCAGCAGAGUCGCCAGAGAUGUCACACCCCUUUUUCGCUCGAAAGAGUCGAGCCGAAGGAUUUUUUCAAUUAAAGUGACAGCAUUGAAUAGGAAUUAUUUUAAUUACAGAGUCGCCACUUGAAAUUAAGUUAUGGUGUUCCAAGUCACCUUAUUGAAUACCCAAUCAAAAGGAAAUGAUUCUUUAUUUUGGUCUGCAAAAAUAGAAGAUCGGGUAAGAAAUUCUGCUGACCGAGCGGAAGGUGUGAGGCACCCCUCAAGUCCCGUGGUUCUAGCACAGUCGCUUUUAUUGACUUAUACUUAACUAUUUUGAUAAAUUGUAUUAAGACCUAAUUUCUCUCAUUUUAUUAUACCAAAAACUUGUGUAUUAAGUAAAUCAGUUAAUUUUAGAAAAUAUUUGUCAAAGUGCAUUAUUGCAUCUUUAAAAUUUUAAAUGUCUCAAAAAGAUGCGUAUUUCGCAUUCUUAUUUGAUACGAAUAUAUAUUAAAUAUGUUUAAAAAUUAUCUAGCAUUAUAAACGUUAAUUUAUCAAUUAUAAAUUCAUAAAAAUUUUAUUUAGUCAAAAUUCUACUUAAUUUUAAUAGUAUUCCUAAAUAAUAUUUAAUUAAAGAAAUUAAUUAAUUUAACAAAAUAAUUAACAAGUUUUAUUAUUGACAAGGAAUAAACAAAAUAAGUAAUUACAAUACAAUAGAAUAAAAUAAAUAUAAACUAUCCACAUCUAUUCUUUUUAAAAACAAAAGUUUAUUUUAAAAGGGCUCAACAACUUGACAAAAUUUAGAGCAGAUCUACGCAUAUUUUUCUCUGACUUGAGAAAGAAAAGGGCGCUAGUUUUUAAGCCAUGAUGGUUGGUUGUAUGGAAGAGGACGGUGACGCUAAUGGCUUCGUAGGUGAGAUCUGAACGGGAAAAAAGGAGAGUGGAUGGUGGCGGUGACCGGUGAACGUGGGUUCACCGAAAGGAAAGAAGAGAGAGAAGUGGUAUUGGUUGGUUCCCGAUGAUUUUUGCUAUUUUUGAGAGGAAUUUUUUGGCAAUUUGACCAGGCAGCCCGCUGGGUUGGUUAUCGGCGGGUUUCGCCGAUGGUGUUGGUGACGAGAAAGGGGAAGGGAUAGGCGGAGAUGGUACGGUGAUCACAGGAGUGGUGGUUGACUGUUUUGGGGGUAGGGAAGGUAGGAACGAUGAUGGGAAAACGGAGAUCUGCUCCAGUUUCAGGCAACAAUGCCUUUCCCAGUAAAGAUUCACUGGAGCAGUCCCUGUCGUUCCUCUUUUCUCUCUUCACUCAAAUUUUAGAUUUUUGAUUUCCAUUUUUUUUAGCAAGAUGGGUAUAUCGGAUAUAAUGACGAAAUGGUAAUUCCGGCGAAGUUUCACAGGAAGUUCAGAAUAAUCGAACUAAUUUGGUUCUCGUUACUCUCUGAUUUUUCUGUUUGCAUGUAGUAUGUAUGGUGUAUAAAUAAAAUGGAGGCCUAUGUACACAGAUGUGUGUAACAGUGUGUGUGAAUGUGUUAUAUUCUUAGUGAUGGAUGAAAGUAUAUGUGAACGUGUGCAUUGUUAUUGGUGAAUGUGAAUAUGCAGUGAACACAAAUUGUAACAAGUCUAUUUUCUUUUCUCUGCUAUUUUAUCUGUUUUGAUUUUAACUUAGCAGUAUGUACAUAAACAUUCAAUAAUUUAAUAUGCAACAUAAUAACAUAUACAUUCACUUAAUAAAUCAACAACACUUUAUGAACAGUAUAUGAAAAUUACUUAAACAUCUUUAUUCAUAUAUGAUUCGUAAUAAAUUUUAUGCAAUAAAGGAUCAUAAUGAAACCUGUGUUAAAUUGAACAGAAACACAAAGUCGUCACCGGAAUCUUCAAGUGAAAUUCUGAAUCUCCACUCUUUCUCUCCUUUUUUUGAUAUCUUGUUUUUUAC
This 6206-nucleotide long non-coding RNA is filed under the name Capsicum annuum. RNAcentral's name for it is "long non-coding RNA (CANN_LNC018550)". Lineage: Eukaryota; Viridiplantae; Streptophyta; Magnoliopsida; Solanales; Solanaceae. The record is from RNAcentral.